RNAcentral lists this ribosomal RNA (1865 nucleotides) under human gut metagenome. Its description in RNAcentral is "bacterial LSU rRNA". It matches the Rfam family "Bacterial large subunit ribosomal RNA", at positions 831 to 2583 of the family's 2925-position model. The record is from RNAcentral.
AAUCAAAUUCCGUGAUAGCUGGUUCUCUCCGAAAUGCAUUUGGGUGCAGCGUCGGGUCAUUACGUCCCGGGGGUAGAGCUACUGGAUGCUUGCGGGCCCGUAUCGGGUACCAACAGCAACCAAACUCCGAAUACCGGUGACGCGUAUCCCGGCAGUGAGUCGGCGGGGGAUAAGCUUCGUCGUCGAAAGGGAAACAGCCCAGACCGUCGUCUAAGGUCCCGAAGCGUGUGCUAAGUGGGAAAGGAUGUGGAGUCGCAUAGACAGCCAGGAGGUUGGCUCAGAAGCAGCCACCCUUGAAAGAGUGCGUAACAGCUCACUGGUCUAGUGGUUCCGCGCCGACAAUGUAGCGGGGCUCAAGCACACCACCGAAGACGCGGCAGUAUUUUGUACUGGGUAGGAGAGCGUCCCAUGAGGGGCGAAGCGGCCGUGUGAACGCGCCGUGGACUUCAUGGGAGUGAGAAUGCAGACAUGAGUAGCGAGAGACGGGUGAAGAUCCCGUCCGCUGGAUGACCAAGGGUUCCAGGGCCACGUUCAUCGUCCCUGGGUGAGUCGGGUCCUAAGGCGAGGCCGACAGGCGUAGUCGAAUGGAUGAACGGGUCGAUAUUCCCGUACCGGCUUUCAGCCGCCAAAACCGAGGCUUGGAGUACUAACCUCCGGGUCCGGGCUUACUGCUCCUUCGGGGGCGGGAUGCCCUGGCCUGUUGGGACCGAUCCUUGUAGUAGGUCAGCGCAGGAGUGACGCAGAAGGGUAGCCGGCCGCGGAGGUGGUCUUCCGUGGUCAAGCACGCAGGGCGUGGGACAGGCAAAUCCGUCCCGCAUGGGUCCGAGGUGCGAUGAUGGGGGCCUUAUGGCCCGAUAUCCGGUGAUCCCGGCUGCCGAGAAAAGCUUCGGCGUCAGGCUCGAAGCCGCCCGUACCCCAAACCGACACUGGUGGUCAGGUAGAGAAUACCAAGGCGAUCGAGCGAAUCCUGGUCAAGGAACUCGGCAAAUCACUCCCGUUCCUUCGGUUUAAGGGAGACCCCCGAUGGUGAACACACUUGCUGUGGGAGCUUUUGGGGGUGGCACAGACCAGGGGGUAGCGACUGUUUACCAAAAACACAGGUGCAUGCGAAGGCGAAAGCCGCUGUAUAUGCACUGACGCCUGCCCGGUGCCGGAAGGUUAAGAGGAUCCGUCAGCUUUUGCGAAGCGGUGAAUUCAAGCCCCGGUAAACGGCGGUGGUAACUAUAACCAUCCUAAGGUAGCGAAAUUCCUUGUCGGGUAAGUUCCGACCUGCACGAAUGGCGUAACGACUUCCCCACUGUCUCGACCAGGAGCUCGGCGAAAUUGCAGUACGAGUAAAGAUGCUCGUUAAGCGCAGAAGGACGAAAAGACCCCGGGACCUUUACUAUACCUUGGUAUUGGCGUUAGGCGCGGAUUGUGUAGCAUAGGCGGGAGGCUUCGAAGCGUGGGCGCCAGCUCAUGUGGAGCCGCAAGGUGAAAUACCGCUCUGUUCUCGUUUGACGUCUAACCUCGACAAGUCAUCCUUGCCAGGGACAGUGCCUGGCGGGUAGUUUAACUGGGGCGGUUGCCUCCCAAAGAGUAACGGAGGCGCUCAAAGGUCCGCUCAGCCCGGUUGGCAAUCGGGUGUCGAGUGUAAUCGCACAAGCGGGCUUGACUGCGAGGACGACGGUCCGAGCAGGGACGAAAGUCGGAGAUAGUGAUCCGGUGCCGGCGCACGGGCGCGGCAUCGCUCAACGGAUAAAAGGUACCCCGGGGAUAACAGGCUGAUCAUUCCCAAGAGUCCAUAUCGACGGGAUGGUUUGGCACCUCGAUGUCGGCUCGUCGCAUCCUGGGGCUGGAGCAGGUCCCAAGGGUUCGGCUGUUCG